Molecule: non-coding RNA, 314 nt
Organism: Zonotrichia albicollis (white-throated sparrow)
Lineage: Eukaryota; Metazoa; Chordata; Aves; Passeriformes; Passerellidae
Source: RefSeq, a predicted model, not a curated record
UGCAAGGAAUAUAAGAGUGUUAAAGAAAAAAGAUACCAGCCAAUCUGCAAAGAGUUCUUAUAUAAUCUACAAAGAGAAAAUACAAGAAAACACAUGAUACAAAGAGGAGCUUUCAGCAUGGGAGCCAAAGAAGUAGAAUGUAUGCUUUCCAAGAGGAGAGAGGCAGAGAGAGAGGAAGAAAAGUGAAGACUUUGGCAGAAAAUAUUUGGCAUCAAAAAAUCGCCUUAAAAAGUUCUGUUGAAAUUCAGAACACAGCAGCUAAUGAGUGAAUUGCAGUGGAAUGGCUGCUGGAAAUUGUCCAGAGGAAGCGCAAC